This is a long non-coding RNA of Pseudopipra pipra, 509 nucleotides long. RefSeq lists it as uncharacterized. Lineage: Eukaryota; Metazoa; Chordata; Aves; Passeriformes; Pipridae. The record is from RefSeq and is a predicted model, not a curated record. The transcript has 3 exons.
AAAAACUGUGUUCUGGACUAACACACACCUUUUUUUCUACACAUCCUCCCCUCCAAGGAUCUGAUUGCUUUGGGGUCAGUACUGACUUGCAGAUCCUCAUGUUGGCAGAGGAGACGGAGAAUGUCUUUCUUCUAGAAGAGCCAGGCAAAAAGAUAACGACCUCAACUCUGAAGAGAGACAUUUCCAGAGAGGGAGACCUUCCUCAGAAAAUGCAUCAGCACAAACAAACUGAUGAGGAUACAGGAUGGGAAUGACAGAAUUCGAACACAUGGAAAACAAUUCAAGACACUGAAAUCAUGACCUAAAGGGUAGUGUCUGUGCACAUCUGAUACCUGCUGGAAGACAAUGUUCUCCUACACUUGAAUGCCAGGGCCCUUCUUGGCUUGGUCAAAUCUGAAGCAUUUGAUGUAAACCAGAGGGCUGCUGUUGGGAUAGCACUUCCCAUAAUCCAGGCAAGGAGACCAACAUCCCUUUAUGGCAGUUUCCUAAGGAAAUAAAUUCUGUGUUGU